GCCUGGGUGGCUCAGUCGGUUAAGCGUCCGACUUCGGCUCAGGUCAUGAUCUCAUGGUCCGUGGGUUCGAGCCCCGCAUCGGGCU
Non-coding RNA from Felis catus (domestic cat), 85 nucleotides. Lineage: Eukaryota; Metazoa; Chordata; Mammalia; Carnivora; Felidae. The record is from Rfam.